Small nucleolar RNA from Haliotis rufescens (red abalone), 101 nucleotides. The record is from RefSeq and is a predicted model, not a curated record. NCBI's taxonomy places the organism in Eukaryota, Metazoa, Mollusca, Gastropoda, Lepetellida, Haliotidae.
UUCUGAUGAUGACUUGCCAUGCUAAUACAGAUACCUGGACACCCAGAUGUGCUGGGAAGAAAGGAUAAACCAUGAGUUGAAGUUUCGCAUAACUGAAGAGU